This 2891-nucleotide ribosomal RNA is filed under the name uncultured archaeon. Its description in RNAcentral is "bacterial LSU rRNA". It matches the Rfam family "Archaeal large subunit ribosomal RNA". The record is from RNAcentral.
AGAACGUUAUUACGCUGCAUAGUGGAUAACUAGGCUCUAACGCCGAUGAAGGGCGUGGCAAGCUGCGAAAUGCCCUGGCGCUGUUAGUAGAGGCGAUCGAAAGCAGCAGAGGGCAAACCGAAUCCCAAAGCGCGAGUUUUGGGAGAUGUGGGGUUGCGGGCCUUUUUACAACUCAAAGGCAUUUAGUUGAAGUCUGCUGGAAAGCAGUGCCUCAGAGAGUGAUAGCCUCGUAAGCGAAAGCUGGAGAGUUGAUUGAAGGAUUCCGAGAGUAUGGUGCAUUGGAUGUUGCGCCAAAACAUUCCACUCAACUUGUGGAAACCCUAAAUACAGGUUAGAGACCGAUAGCAAACUAGUACCGAGAGGGAAAGUUGAAAAGCACCCUUAACAGGGAUUUGAAAAGCACUUGAAACUAUGCAGUAACAUUCAAGACGCAGCAUGGAAGAAGCGAAGCGCUUUGAAGCAAGAGCUCGCAAGGGCUUGAGCGAAAAGCGCUGAUCAGUGUUGCGUCGUUCGUCAUGAAUCACGAGCAAGGGAGUUUAACUCAGUGGCGAAACUAACCCACUUAGAAUGUGGGGGAGUUGUAAGGAAACUGGAAAGCCCGCAGUUCGCAAGAAUGAGGGGCGAGGUUCGAAAGAGCUUUCAGUCACUGGGUUAAGACCUGAAACCAUUUGAUAUAGGCCUGGGCAGGUUGAAAUCUUUCUUCCGAAAGAUGGAGGACCGCAUUCAGUGCUAGUCUAACUGCUUGAGUGACCUGGGUCUCGCAGUAAAAUGCUAAUCGCAAAUGGUAAUAGCAGGUUCCUUCCGAAUUGCCCCUCAGGGCAGCGUGCUUGGAGAAUGCGGAUGGGGUAGAGUUACUGAUUAGGAAUCUCCGGUUGGAAACUUCCGGCUUUCUUGUCAAACUCCCAAUCUAUUCGCUUCAGAGAAGAGCACAGUAGGGCGUGCCGGGUAAGCCAGUACGCCAAGAAGGGAACAACCUGAACUGUGGUUAAGGCCCAAAAGUACUGGUCAAGUGUUAAUCAGAAAAGCGUCAUUGCCCUAAAACAAUGGGGAGGUUGGCUUAGAAGCAGCCAUCCUUUAAAGAAUGCGUAACAGCUCACCCAUCGAGGACAAUGGUCUUGAAAAUAAACUGGGCUAAACCAGUCGCCGAUACCACGGACCACAAUCCUUAAGGAUUGUGAUGGAGUAGGAAGGUGGUUUGAUAGCUUCGAAGCAAGGGAGUAAUUUCUUGUGGAGCUGUUAAAUAUAUGGAUCCUUGCGCUAGUAAUAACGUAGAAAGGUGAGAAUCCUUUCCGCCGAAAGUGCCAGGGUUCCUUAGCACUGAUCGUCAGCUAAGGGUUAGCCGGUCCUAAGCUUCCGCGCAAAACGCUGGAAGCGAAAGGGAAACGCGUUCAUAAUCGCGUGCUUUGCAAAUACGAUAUCGGCAACGAAAGCUCUAAUGACUGACACUUUGGGCUAGGCAGUGCAUGCCAGUCAGCAUGUUUAACAAGCAUAAACAUCCGGAGAACCGUAAUGGUGAGAAGGACGUUAAAGCUUGGAAUAGGCGAAAGCUACUGCCAAGGCCUGGAGUCCUUGAAAAAGCAUUAGGGAAGAAUUUUGCAAAACCGUACCGAGAUCCGAGAAGGGUGUCACUAGCUCAAUAGGCUAAGGCGUGUCAGGGUUACCUAGUUUAGGGAAAUCGGCAAUAUUGGCCCCGUAUCUUAGGUAUAAGGGGUGCCUGGUCCAUGUUCUGGACUAGGUUUCAAUAACUAAAGGAGUCCGACUGUUUAGCAAAAACACAAGUGACUGCGAGAGCGAAAGCUUGAGAAUAGUCGCCGACUUCUGCUCACUGCCAGUACGUGAAAGCUUGUUUCAACGAGUCUAAGCGCUGGUAAAGAGCGGGCCUAACUCUGAGGCUCUCAUGGUAGCGUAAUACCUUGUCGGUUUAAUGCCGACUUGCACCAAGGAAGUAACGAGAUUCCUGCUGUCCCAAACUUGGGCCUGAUGAAAUCACUAGGGGGUGAAUAGGCCCCCAAACUCCAACGGGAAAAGAAGACCCCACAGAAGUUUACUACAAUCUGCUGCUGUUGCGUGAUUUUUUAUGUUGAGCGUAAAUGGGAGCAUUAGAAGCGGUUUCGCCAGGAGCCGUGGAUGCGAAAGUGAAACACCAUUCAUGAAAGAUUACGCUCCUAACCAUUCGCGAGAAUGGGACAACAGUUGACGGGUAGUUUGACUGGGGUGGUACACCCCUGAAAAAGUAUCAGGGGUGCCCAAAGGUCUGCUCACGCGAGUCAGAAAUUCGCGGUAGAGUGCAAAAGCAAAAGCAGGCUUGACAGUAACCUACUCAGCAAGGGUUGCUGAUUCGAAAGAAGGGUUUAGCGAACGUCAGUGUCUCCGAUUUUGGGAGCCUGGUCUAACAGUGAACUUACCUUGGGGGUAAUUGAGUGGUAGCGGGAGAGAGUACACAUCGACCCCGCUGUUUGCGACCUCGCCGUCGUCUCUUGGCAUCCUGGCUGUGCAUAAGCAGCCAAGGGUGGAGGUGUUAACUCAUUAAAGCCGAACGUUAGUUGGGUUAAGAACGGUGCGAGCCAGUUUGGUUACGCGGUAGAUUAUAAAAGCUGAAAGCAUCUAAGCUUGAAGAAUCCCCUGAAAAGAAGCAAUCAUUCCGGAAACCAGUUUUCGCGAGAAGGCUGGUUAAGGACAAGCGCGCCCGUAGAACACGGGUUUGAUAGGUUGCGGAUGUAAGCACGAAGCGCAAGCGACGUGUUAAGUCCAGCAAUACUAAAAGCGCAACAAGUUCUCUUAACAAUUAAGUCUGCAAUCCUAUGCAAUCUUUUUAUUUUUUAAAAAUAGGAAUUUUUUCCAAAAGCACAGCCGCAAGGCUGGGAAAAAAAAUCAUUUAUUUUGGGGCACAA